GACGAACGCUGGCGGCGCGCCUAACACAUGCAAGUCGAACGGAGUCAAGAGGAGCUUGCUUUUCUUGACUUAGUGGCGAACGGGUGAGUAACGCGUGAGUAACCUGCCCUGGAGUGGGGGACAACAGUUGGAAACGACUGCUAAUACCGCAUAAGCCCACGGAUCUGCAUGGAUCUGCGGGAAAAGGAUUUAUUCGCUCUAGGAUGGACUCGCGUCCAAUUAGCUAGUUGGUGAGGUAACGGCCCACCAAGGCGACGAUUGGUAGCCGGACUGAGAGGUUGAACGGCCACAGUGGGACUGAGACACGGCCCAGACUCCUACGGGAGGCAGCAGUGGGGGAUAUUGCACAAUGGGGGAAACCCUGAUGCAGCGACGCCGCGUGGAGGAAGAAGGUUUUCGGAUUGUAAACUCCUGUCGUGAGGGACGAUAAUGACGGUACCUAACAAGAAAGCACCAGCUAACUACGUG
Molecule: ribosomal RNA, 468 nt
Filed under: uncultured bacterium
Lineage: Bacteria
Description: partial 16S ribosomal RNA
Rfam family: Bacterial small subunit ribosomal RNA
Source: RNAcentral